Molecule: ribosomal RNA, 386 nt
Filed under: uncultured bacterium
Lineage: Bacteria
Description: bacterial SSU rRNA
Rfam family: Bacterial small subunit ribosomal RNA
Source: RNAcentral
AUUGAACGCUAGCGGGAUGCCUUACACAUGCAAGUCGAACGGCAGCGCGGACUUCGGUCUGGCGGCGAGUGGCGAACGGGUGAGUAAUGUAUCGGAACGUGCCCAGUAGCGGGGGACAACCACUCGAAAGAGUGGCUAAUACCGCAUACGCCCUACGGGGAAAGGGGGGAGUCGCAAGACCUCUCACUAAUUGGAGCGGCCGAUAUCGGAUUAGCUAGUUGGUGGGGUAAAGGCCUACCAAGGCGACGAUCCGUAGCUGGUUUGAGAGGACGACCAGCCACACUGGGACUGAGACACGGCCCAGACUCCUACGGGAGGCAGCAGUGGGGAAUUUUGGACAAUGGGGGAAACCCUGAUCCAGCCAUUCCGCGUGUGCGAUGAAGGCC